RNAcentral lists this ribosomal RNA (253 nucleotides) under uncultured bacterium. RNAcentral's name for it is "partial 16S ribosomal RNA". It matches the Rfam family "Bacterial small subunit ribosomal RNA", at positions 524 to 776 of the family's 1533-position model. The record is from RNAcentral.
UACGAAGGGGACUAGCGUUGUUCGGAUUUACUGGGCGUAAAGCGCGCGUAGGCGGAUCGCUAAGUCAGGGGUGAAAUCCCAGGGCUCAACCCUGGAACUGCCUUUGAUACUGACGAUCUGGAGAUCGGGAGAGGUUGGUGGAAUUCCGAGUGUAGAGGUGAAAUUCGUAGAUAUCGUAAGGAAGACCAGUGGCGAAGGCGGGUCACUGGCCCGGUACUGACGCUGAGGCGCGAAAGCGUGGGGAGCAAACAGG